GUCUGGAUCGAUUUGGGUAUAAU
Molecule: small nuclear RNA, 23 nt
Filed under: Arabidopsis thaliana (thale cress)
Lineage: Eukaryota; Viridiplantae; Streptophyta; Magnoliopsida; Brassicales; Brassicaceae
Description: snRNA_14119
Source: RNAcentral